GGGGGCGAAUGGGCUCGACGUGAUGCAGGGCUGGCCGAGACUGCGAGCCGAGAUCGCCGGUAUCUCGUAAAACACGGCAAAGCUACAACUGCCGAACCUAUGGCAAUGGCUGCUUAACCGCAGCCCUGGCUACCUAGAGUAGCCAUGUCUGCCCCGUCGCGCCGGCCGGAUGGGGGUCAGGCAUCAAAAAGGCCGACUACCGCUGCAGACGAGGCCCCAACGGCUGCAGGGGGAAUCUAACAGGGGACGGUCUGGGACAGGUCUUGUGCACGGGUCCUGCCUGGAUUGUACCAAAUCGUGCGCUAUGCUCGUAGAGGUCACGGAUNNCUCCACCAUUUUGUCUCCGCAU
This 349-nucleotide transfer-messenger RNA is filed under the name Armatimonadota bacterium. Its description in RNAcentral is "Armatimonadetes bacterium (bioreactor metagenome) transfer-messenger RNA". It matches the Rfam family "transfer-messenger RNA". Rfam says of the family: Bacterial tmRNA, also known as 10Sa RNA or SsrA, is named for its dual tRNA and mRNA-like properties. Its role is to liberate the mRNA from a stalled ribosome. The record is from RNAcentral. Lineage: Bacteria; Bacillati; Armatimonadota.